AGUGAACGCUGGCGGUAGGCCUAACACAUGCAAGUCGAACGGCAGCACAGUAAGAGCUUGCUCUUACGGGUGGCGAGUGGCGGACGGGUGAGGAAUACAUCGGAAUCUACUUUUUCGUGGGGGAUAACGUAGGGAAACUUACGCUAAUACCGCAUACGACCUACGGGUGAAAGCAGGGGAUCUUCGGACCUUGCGCGAUUGAAUGAGCCGAUGUCGGAUUAGCUAGUUGGCGGGGUAAAGGCCCACCAAGGCGACGAUCCGUAGCUGGUCUGAGAGGAUGGUCAGCCACACUGGAACUGAGCCACGGUCCAGACUCCUACGGGAGGCAGCAGUGGGGAAUAUUGGACAAUGGGCGCAAGCCUGAUCCAGCCAUACCGCGUGGGUGAAGAAGGCCUUCGGGUUGUAAAGCCCUUUUGUUGGGAAAGAAAAGCAGCAGGUUAAUACCCCGCUGUUCUGACGGUACCCAAAGAAUAAGCACCGGCUAACUUCGUG
Molecule: ribosomal RNA, 492 nt
Filed under: uncultured bacterium
Lineage: Bacteria
Description: partial 16S ribosomal RNA
Rfam family: Bacterial small subunit ribosomal RNA
Source: RNAcentral